RNAcentral lists this ribosomal RNA (411 nucleotides) under uncultured bacterium. RNAcentral describes it as "bacterial SSU rRNA". It matches the Rfam family "Bacterial small subunit ribosomal RNA", at positions 1 to 426 of the family's 1533-position model. The record is from RNAcentral.
CAUCUGAUUGAGUUUGAUCAUGGCUCAGAACGAACGCUGGCGGCACGCCUAACACAUGCAAGUCGRACGAAGCRUAAGAGCUUGCUCUUAUGACUGAGUGGCGCACGGGUGAGUAACACGUGGGAAUCUGCCUAUUGGUGGGGAAUAACYUUUGGAAACGAARGCUAAUACCGCAUAAGCCCUGAGGGGGAAAGAUUUAUCGCCAAUAGAUGAGCCCGCGCUAGAUUAGCUAGUUGGUGAGGUAAGAGCUCACCAAGGCUACGAUCUAUAGCUGGUCUGAGAGGAUGGUCAGCCACACUGGGACUGAGACACGGCCCAGACUCCUACGGGAGGCAGCAGUGGGGAAUAUUGGACAAUGGGGGAAACCCUGAUCCAGCGAUGCCGCGUGAGUGAAGAAGGCCUUCGGGUUGU